UUCAGGCCAAGAUUCCUGACCGAGUAUACGAGACAUCACCGGUAUUUCUACUACUCCACCAACAGUCUCGUAACGAGAAAAUUAACGGGAACGUUAACAGCGAUUUAGAAUCUUAAUAAACAAUUGCAAUGUUACCCCGAAAUUGAUAAUAUGGAGUCAUAAAGUAUAUGUAUAUACGAUAAAAUAAUACGAAUCAGUCGGUAACAACGAAAUCUUCAAUUUUCAAGACGAGUUUUCAACGAAGUGCUAUUUCGAUGUUUGCACGAAAGAAAGAAAGAAAAAAAAAAGAAAUAGUACAAGGAAUCGAUAUGACGUUACAUUUUUUUUUUUUUCGAAAAAGUGCGGAAAUUGGAAUCGUACGAUUGGAAAAAAAUCGAUUGGACGAAACUGAACAACGAAUAAUUGCAACGACAGAGUUUCACCGUGUAGCAAAGUGGUUAGGUUAGAGAGUAAUUAAAAGCGAAUAUCCGUUUGUGGUUGUGAUGCAUCGAGUAACUAGCGGUUAGAGGAAAAAGAAAGAAUGAGAAAGAGGAAAAGAAAAAGAUAGAGCGUGCAGCACUGCGUCUCUUACUCGAGCUUGCCGAGACGGUGAAAGAAAAAGAAGAAGAAAAAGAAGAGGUAUGCCUAACACGAACGCACGAAACAAUUUGAAAUAAUGACCGAGACGAAAGUCGUCUAUAUAGAAACGUAACGGAUACACAAACGAAAGGGUGGCUAAUGAGCCGUCGAUGUGAAUUUUUCCAGCGAGAUAUCUUUGGUAAAUACGAAGAUGUACAAGAUUUUUAUCGCUCGGUACGACAAGAUUAAUUUAAUCGUUAAUCGUUAAUCGAAACUAUGAAACGUAUAAAUUUUCAUAAACUGUGACGAAAAGAAUUCCAUCGGUGCACACAGACAAUAGAUACUCCGAUAAUAUCUAUCUAUUCUCAAAAUAUAUAUAGUCGCGCGUGGUUUCACGACAGUAAACUUAUUUUCGAAUUUUAUAGUAUCCUCCCGUGAUUAACGAGCACAAUAUCCUUAUGACGGAUUAUAUACCUAAGUUUAAUGUUCUCAUGCCAAGUCCAAACAGCUCGAGCGUUGUUAAUAGUUGUUGCCUUCGUUCGAUUCUAAAAUGCAUACUUUAUCAUAAACCUUAUUUACGUCCGCUCGUAUAAUUUAGAAUUAAUCGUGUAAUAAAAAAAAAAACAAAAACAAAUAUACAAUAUCGUAUAAUAUAAUGGAAUCUUAAAGGUAUAAGGAGAAUAAGGGUUUGGAAUAUUUUUGCAACAACUGUAGUCAAAUUUACAUUAGAGGAUAAAAACGGUAGAGUAAAGAAAGAGAAAGUACGGAAAAAGAAGAGAAGAUAUAGAAUAAUAAUGCUUACUUAUGUCGUUGUUGGCCGGCGAGUCGUCGUCGUCGAGGGUUGUUUCGAGGGUUUCGUUGAGGGCUGCAUUCUCUUCUUGGAAAUUGUUCUCAUCACACUUAGGCAUAUUUUUUCCCUCUAGAAAUAUUCCAUCCGAGAGAUUGGCAGCAAUAGCAGGAACAUUGUCGAGUAAUGGAUUUUCAUGAACAUUGUCCAAAUUGUCCAGGUUGUCCGCGUUGUCCACGUCAUCGACAGCAUCGACGUCUGUCUCAGGUCCAAGAUCCUCGUAAAUAUAAUCCGCGGCAUCAUUCUCUUCGUGUUUUCCGUCAGCACCACCACCGGUUAUCUCAUCGUGAAAACCACCGUCGUCCAUUGCCGUUUCUUCCGAUCCAUUAGCGUGCCUCUCUUCUUGAUCGUUGUCAUAAGGUUGCUGAUGUUGCUGUUGGUAUUGCUUCAUCUGCUUGAAGAACAUGCCAUCGCUGAGAUCCUUCUGUACGUAUGGAUUGUUCACGGCCAUGUUUUUCAUCGAUUUCACGACGAGAACAGAAUUGGCGUCGCUCGACCUCGCUACUAUAUCACUUGGUGCCGUUAAGAAGACCACGAUCGCUGUAAUGUUGUCCAAAGAGCCAGCGUGUUUGGCUGCUUUUAUCAAGCUCGUUACGGCGUAAUUUGGAUCGUCUGAAAGAGAAAAAAACGAAAAUAAUAAAAAAGAAAAAAAAAAAUGAAAAAAAAGAAAGAAAAACAAAUAUCGUUGAUAAGACUUAAUAUUUUAAAUAGUCUUUCGAUUCGUUGACUUAUCAUUAACAGGCGUUGUUAUUUAUAUCGUUUCGUUGCGAUCACGUCUAUUACGGAAUACUAUUGCCUCGAUAACGGUGAAUCAUGCUUUUCUCGAAACCACGAUUACGUAAAUCUUAAGUUUAUCGAUGUCGGAUUAGUAACGGGCUAUUAUUCUCGUAAUGAGACGAAAUGAAAAUUGCCUCGAUAUAUAUCGAUAUAAUUUGACAUUGACUAAAAACGAGAAAAAAUAAUUCAAAACCAUUGAAUAUAUCAAAAAAAAAAAAAAAAAAAAAAAAAAAAAAAAAAACAACAAAAAUAA
Vespula vulgaris is the source of this 2435-nucleotide long non-coding RNA. RefSeq lists it as uncharacterized. NCBI's taxonomy places the organism in Eukaryota, Metazoa, Arthropoda, Insecta, Hymenoptera, Vespidae. The transcript has 2 exons. The record is from RefSeq and is a predicted model, not a curated record.